This 84-nucleotide transfer RNA is filed under the name Clostridium gelidum. Its description in RNAcentral is "tRNA-Leu". It matches the Rfam family "tRNA". Rfam says of the family: Transfer RNA (tRNA) molecules are approximately 80 nucleotides in length. Their secondary structure includes four short double-helical elements and three loops (D, anti-codon, and T loops). The record is from RNAcentral. Lineage: Bacteria; Bacillati; Bacillota; Clostridia; Eubacteriales; Clostridiaceae.
GCAGGUAUGCUGGAAUGGCAGACAGGCACGCUUGAGGUGCGUGUGUUUUAUAGCGUACGGGUUCAAGUCCCGUUACCUGCACCA